RNAcentral lists this ribosomal RNA (497 nucleotides) under uncultured bacterium. RNAcentral's name for it is "partial 16S ribosomal RNA". It matches the Rfam family "Bacterial small subunit ribosomal RNA", at positions 28 to 507 of the family's 1533-position model. The record is from RNAcentral.
GACGAACGCUGGCGGCGUGCCUAAUACAUGCAAGUUGAGCGCUGAAGGUUGGUACUUGUACCGACUGGCUGAGCAGCGAACGGGUGAGUAACGCGUGGGGAAUCUGCCUUUGAGCGGGGGACAACAUUUGGAAACGAAUGCUAAUACCGCAUAAAAACUUUAAACACAAGUUUUAAGUUUGAAAGAUGCAAUUGCAUCACUCAAAGAUGAUCCCGCGUUGUAUUAGCUAGUUGGUGAGGUAAAGGCUCACCAAGGCGAUGAUACAUAGCCGACCUGAGAGGGUGAUCGGCCACAUUGGGACUGAGACACGGCCCAAACGCCUACGGGAGGCAGCAGGAGGGAAUCUUCGGCAAUGGACGAAAGUCUGACCGAGCAACGCCGCGUGAGUGAAGAAGGGUUUCGGAUCGUAAAACUCUGUUGGUAGAGAAGAACGUUGGUGAGAGUGGAAAGCUCAUCAAGUGACGGUAACUACCCAGAAAGGGACGGCUAACUACGUG